GCUGCUUAUCUGAAACAUCUGCACAAUGAUAUUAAAUCGUUUACCGAGUCGGAAACUGAUUGACGGAAAAUGUAGGGAGCAAGCAACUUCAUAGAAACCAAUGUGGACAUAGUUAAAUGAAUUUCAGUGCCCGACUCACUGAUUCAAUCCUGGCCAUUUCAACCAUAUAAUUCCAGGGUCUUUCCUGCAAAAUUUAUGCUAAAGAACUAUUAACACGAACUA
Long non-coding RNA from Hibiscus syriacus, 222 nucleotides. RefSeq lists it as uncharacterized. The record is from RefSeq and is a predicted model, not a curated record. The transcript has 2 exons. Lineage: Eukaryota; Viridiplantae; Streptophyta; Magnoliopsida; Malvales; Malvaceae.